GUCGUGGCCAAAAGUUCUUCACAAGGUUAACAUGACAAAAAGAGAGGAGGAGGGUUAUAGUAGGUUGUACUGCUUUCCACUAUUUCUGUAAUGUUGGUUAAAUUAAUUAGUCUGUGCAAAAAAAUCAGCAGUGAGGUGCUAAAGGCUGGAAAAUAAAUAUUCACAAGUUAGCUAGAUUUCCCUGCUUUUCAAAUGGAAGGGAGUGGGACUCCUGUCUUCCCAGAUGGCAGAGAGAUUUCCCGCAUGACUCCACAUGCCGAAGUGUCCUUGGGCAAGACACUGAACCCAAAGUUGCUCCCAAUGGCUCGCUGUCGUAACGUCUUAAUAGAUGUAUGCACCCAUCACCAGUGGCUGCGGAGCAUUAGAAUGGAGACUCGGCGAUGCACCAUCUAUCAUAUGAACCCACUUUGUCCUGUGUCGCUUCAUACAGUAUCUGAUACCUUUGGGUUUGGCUUUUUAUACAUAUACUGUACUGUAUAUCCAUUUUUCCUUUGUAUUAUCGUGUGGUUUAUAAAGUAGAGCUUGUCAGAAUAGAGUGUAUAGCCUUUCGCAUUUGAAAUGAAAUUGUUACCAUUGUGUAAAUGUGUGCAUGUGUGCUUAUGAAGGGUGUGUUUGUCU
This is a long non-coding RNA of Ictalurus punctatus (channel catfish), 618 nucleotides long. The record is from Ensembl. Lineage: Eukaryota; Metazoa; Chordata; Actinopteri; Siluriformes; Ictaluridae.